This 373-nucleotide ribosomal RNA is filed under the name uncultured bacterium. Its description in RNAcentral is "bacterial SSU rRNA". It matches the Rfam family "Bacterial small subunit ribosomal RNA", at positions 527 to 898 of the family's 1533-position model. The record is from RNAcentral.
GAACCGUCCAAACGUUAUUCGGAAUUACUGGGCUUAAAGGGUGCGUAGGCUGCGCUGUAAGUCAGGUGUGAAAUCCCUCAGCUCAACUGAGGAAUUGCGCUUGAUACUGCAGUGCUCGAGGGAGAUAGGGGUUAGCGGAACUGAUGGUGGAGCGGUGAAAUGCGUUGAUAUCAUCAGGAACACCGGUGGCGAAAGCGGCUAACUGGAUCUCUUCUGACGCUGAGGCACGAAAGCUAGGGUAGCGAACGGGAUUAGAUACCCCGGUAGUCCUAGCCGUAAACGAUGAGCACUUGAUCGGAGACUCCUCCAUAGGUUUCCGGUCGUAGCGAAAGUGUUAAGUGCUCCGCCUGGGGAGUAUGGUCGCAAGGCUGAA